UUGAGACGAGUGGCGAACUGGUGAGUAACACGUGGGUAACCUGCCCUUGAAGUAGGGGAUAACACUUGGAAACAGGUGCUAAUACCGUAUAACAACCAAAACCACCUGGUUUUGGUUUAAAAGACGGCUUCGGCUGUCACUUUAGGAUGGACCCGCGGCGUAUUAGCUUGUUGGUAAGGUAACGGCCUACCAAGGCGAUGAUACGUAGCCGACCUGAGAGGGUAAUCGGCCACAUUGGGACUGAGACACGGCCCAAACUCCUACGGGAGGCAGCAGUAGGGAAUCUUCCACAAUGGACGAAAGUCUGAUGGAGCAACGCCGCGUGAGUGAUGAAGGGUUUCGGCUCGUAAAACUCUGUUGUUGGAGAAGAACAGGUGUCAGAGUAACUGUUGACAUCUUGACGGUAUCCAACCAGAAAGCCACGGCUAACUACGUGCCAGCAGCCGCGGUAAUACGUAGGUGGCAAGCGUUGUCCGGAUUUAUUGGGCGUAAAGCGAGCGCAGGCGGUUUUUUAGGUCUGAUGUGAAAGCCUUCGGCUUAACCGGAGAAGUGCAUCGGAAACCGGGAGACUUGAGUGCAGAAGAGGACAGUGGAACUCCAUGUGUAGCGGUGAAAUGCGUAGAUAUAUGGAAGAACACCAGUGGCGAAGGCGGCUGUCUGGUCUGUAACUGACGCUGAG
This 679-nucleotide ribosomal RNA is filed under the name Lentilactobacillus buchneri. RNAcentral's name for it is "bacterial SSU rRNA". It matches the Rfam family "Bacterial small subunit ribosomal RNA", at positions 86 to 750 of the family's 1533-position model. Lineage: Bacteria; Bacillati; Bacillota; Bacilli; Lactobacillales; Lactobacillaceae. The record is from RNAcentral.